GGCCACCAAUAUAACUCACGAAGGUCUUGGUACAUCUUAUUUCCACCAGGGUGCAUAGCAUAAGGCUACUAUACGCCUCUCGCAGUAUAGGCUGCCUCAAAUCAGUAUCCUUUGGUACACAGAUCCUCUCCCAGAAACAGAGCACCCUUUCACUAAUCAGCCUAAAAUCCACAGUAUCCCUACUCUCAACUUGCUAGAA
This 199-nucleotide long non-coding RNA is filed under the name Gossypium barbadense (sea-island cotton). RNAcentral's name for it is "long non-coding RNA (GBAR_LNC007298)". Lineage: Eukaryota; Viridiplantae; Streptophyta; Magnoliopsida; Malvales; Malvaceae. The record is from RNAcentral.